This 538-nucleotide ribosomal RNA is filed under the name uncultured bacterium. RNAcentral's name for it is "bacterial SSU rRNA". It matches the Rfam family "Bacterial small subunit ribosomal RNA", at positions 777 to 1314 of the family's 1533-position model. The record is from RNAcentral.
AAUAGAUACCCGGGUAGUCCACGCCGUAAACGAUGAGUGCUAGGUGUUGGGGGGUCCACCCCUCGGUGCCGAAGUUAACACAUUAAGCACUCCGCCUGGGGAGUACGGUCGCAAGACUGAAACUCAAAGGAAUUGACGGGGACCCGCACAAGCAGUGGAGUAUGUGGUUUAAUUCGAAGCAACGCGAAGAACCUUACCAGGUCUUGACAUCCCUCUGAAUCCUCUAGAGAUAGAGGCGGCCUUCGGGACAGAGGAGACAGGUGGUGCAUGGUUGUCGUCAGCUCGUGUCGUGAGAUGUUGGGUUAAGUCCCGCAACGAGCGCAACCCUUGAAUUUAGUUGCCAGCACGUUAAGGUGGGCACUCUAGAUUGACUGCCGGUGACAAACCGGAGGAAGGCGGGGAUGACGUCAAAUCAUCAUGCCCCUUAUGACCUGGGCUACACACGUACUACAAUGGCCGGUACAACGGGCAGCGAAGGAGCGAUCCGGAGCCAAUCCUACCAAAGCCGGUCUCAGUUCGGAUUGCAGGCUGCAACUCG